Molecule: transfer RNA, 67 nt
Filed under: Bavayia boulinda
Lineage: Eukaryota; Metazoa; Chordata; Lepidosauria; Squamata; Diplodactylidae
Description: tRNA-Cys
Source: RNAcentral
AGCUCCGUAGUGAAUAACACGUCAAAUUGCAAAUUUGAAAAAGUUCCUGUUUUUGGUUCCGGGGCUU